CGCUUCUUGAGUUCUCAGC
RNAcentral lists this small nuclear RNA (19 nucleotides) under Arabidopsis thaliana (thale cress). RNAcentral's name for it is "snRNA_16850". Lineage: Eukaryota; Viridiplantae; Streptophyta; Magnoliopsida; Brassicales; Brassicaceae. The record is from RNAcentral.